RNAcentral lists this ribosomal RNA (365 nucleotides) under Cneoranidea signatipes. Its description in RNAcentral is "partial 16S ribosomal RNA". The record is from RNAcentral. Lineage: Eukaryota; Metazoa; Arthropoda; Insecta; Coleoptera; Chrysomelidae.
UUAAAUGGCCGCAGUAUUUUAACUGUGCUAAGGUAGCAUAAUCAUUAGUUUUUUAAUUAAAAACUGGAAUGAAAGGUUGGAUGAAAUAAAAACUGUCUCUAAUUAAUUUUAAUUGAAAUUUAUUUUUAAGUUAAAAAGCUUAGAUUAUAUUAAAAGACGAGAAGACCCUAUAGAGUUUUAUUUAAUUUUAUAGUUUUUUAUUUAGGCUUAAUUUAAAAAUUAUUUAAUUAAAUUUAAUUGGGGUGAUUUAAAAAUUUAAUUAACUUUUUAUUAUUAAAAUAUUGUUUUAUAAAUGAUUGAUCUUUUUUUUAUGAUUAUAAGAAAAAAUUACCUUAGGGAUAACAGCGUAAUUUUAUUGGAGAGUU